UUUCUUAAUUUAUAAUUUUGUAUAUCGUUGUUAUAAAAAUAUUUUUUAAUAAAAUUAAUAUUUAAAAAUUAUUAUUAUAAAUUUAAAUCAGAUCAAGAUGCAGAUUAUAAUUAAGAAUAUAAUGGAUUACAAUAAAAUUAUUUAAAUGAAUAUUAGUUUGUAAAAAUUAAUUGAAAGUGGAUUUAAAUGUAAUUUUAUUUAAUUUAUUAAAAUGAUUAAAAAUUAAAAUAUGU
Molecule: ribosomal RNA, 233 nt
Filed under: Acrapex sysciodes
Lineage: Eukaryota; Metazoa; Arthropoda; Insecta; Lepidoptera; Noctuidae
Description: partial 12S small subunit ribosomal RNA
Source: RNAcentral